Molecule: non-coding RNA, 134 nt
Organism: Triticum aestivum (bread wheat)
Lineage: Eukaryota; Viridiplantae; Streptophyta; Magnoliopsida; Poales; Poaceae
Source: Rfam
CAAGUACUCCCUCCGUCCCAAAAUUCUUGUCUUAGAUUUGUCUAAAUACGGAUGUAUCAAGUCACAUUUUAGUAUUAGAUACAUUCGUAUCUAGACUAAUCAAGACAAGAAUUUUGGGAUGGAGGGAGUACAAU